UUGCGGGUCCCGCGCAAUGGAAAACUGUGAACCUCGUCAGGUCCGGAAGGAAGCAGCGAUAAGCAGACCUUUCUAUGUGCCGCGGUCAAGCCUGUGAGGC
This 100-nucleotide signal recognition particle RNA is filed under the name Eubacteriales Family XIII. Incertae Sedis bacterium. RNAcentral's name for it is "signal recognition particle sRNA small type". It matches the Rfam family "Bacterial small signal recognition particle RNA". Rfam says of the family: The signal recognition particle (SRP) is a universally conserved ribonucleoprotein involved in the co-translational targeting of proteins to membranes. Lineage: Bacteria; Bacillati; Bacillota; Clostridia; Peptostreptococcales; Anaerovoracaceae. The record is from RNAcentral.